GUGCUCACUUUAGCAGCACAUAUACUAAAAUUUGAACUAUACAGAGAACAUUAGCAUCACCACUGAGCAAGGACAAAAAGCAAUUUAGUAAAGCAUUCCAUAUUUUU
Meriones unguiculatus (Mongolian gerbil) is the source of this 107-nucleotide small nuclear RNA. The record is from Ensembl. Lineage: Eukaryota; Metazoa; Chordata; Mammalia; Rodentia; Muridae.